GCCGACGGGCUUCGCGUCCCUGAGCUCCACCGGCCGAGCGUUUGUUCGGGGCCUCUGCUUCAGCGACACCACGGUGCAGUCGUCCGACUGCCUCAGCUGCCAGUCCGUCGCGGCCAGGAACCUCACCAUCGGCCGCCGCCAUUACCGGAAGCAUCUCCUCUGUGCAGUUAUACAGAUCCCGGUUUAUUCGCGAGAUCUUGAAGUGUAUACUGGAAAAACCUCGCUAUGUCACCGUGGACCGUGUUCAAAGGAGAAGAAGCCAAUCCAGAUUCGUAUCUACAAAGUGAUGAUCCCGCCGGAGAUUCUGAGUUUGGAAACGAGAGCUACGCCGACCACGACGCCUUCCUGGACCUGCAUCGAGAGAUCCUUGAUCCGUGCUUCGCUGGGACGGAUCUCAAAACGCAUCAAAGGUGCCGUCAUGGUGAGGCCCCUCAGAGGAAGGUAGCAUUCAACAUGGCUGCUACAGGGAGAAGAUUUCUUGGGUGCCUUCGGCAGGCAUCUGUAUCGCAAUGUCCCUGUGGAGCCAAUCUCGAAUGUGGCAAGUGGUGAAGAUUCUUGGAUUCUGAGCUUGUUUCCGAGGGAGGCAUGUUCCGAGGCAAAGGUCACCAGAUGGAAUCUUUACUUCC
Lolium rigidum is the source of this 626-nucleotide long non-coding RNA. RefSeq lists it as uncharacterized. The record is from RefSeq and is a predicted model, not a curated record. Lineage: Eukaryota; Viridiplantae; Streptophyta; Magnoliopsida; Poales; Poaceae. The transcript has 4 exons.